UGUGUAGGCGGAUUAAUAAGUCAGUGGUGAAAUCCUACAGCUUAACUGUAGAACUGCCAUUGAUACUGUUAACCUUGAGUAUAGUUGAGGUAGGCGGAAUGUGUUGUGUAGCGGUGAAAUGCUUAGAUAUAACACAGAACACCGAUUGCGAAGGCAGCAUACUAAACUAUUACUGACGCUGAGGCACGAAAGCGUGGGGAGCGAACAGGAUUAGAUACCCUGGUAGUCC
This 229-nucleotide ribosomal RNA is filed under the name uncultured bacterium. Its description in RNAcentral is "partial 16S ribosomal RNA". It matches the Rfam family "Bacterial small subunit ribosomal RNA", at positions 568 to 796 of the family's 1533-position model. The record is from RNAcentral.